ACUCAACACGAAUUCUUUAAAAAGGGUGAGUUGAAGUUGUAAAAGCGAGCCGUCUUUGAGCGGAUACUUGACCAGCUUGUUAGCCCUAAACAUUCAUUUUAAGGAGUUU
RNAcentral lists this small RNA (109 nucleotides) under Aequorivita lipolytica. RNAcentral's name for it is "6S-Flavo RNA". It matches the Rfam family "6S-Flavo RNA". RNAcentral also lists the same sequence under 2 other names. Lineage: Bacteria; Pseudomonadati; Bacteroidota; Flavobacteriia; Flavobacteriales; Flavobacteriaceae. The record is from RNAcentral.